RNAcentral lists this ribosomal RNA (254 nucleotides) under uncultured bacterium. RNAcentral's name for it is "partial 16S ribosomal RNA". It matches the Rfam family "Bacterial small subunit ribosomal RNA", at positions 524 to 776 of the family's 1533-position model. The record is from RNAcentral.
UACAGGGGGGGCAAGCGUUGUUCGGAAUUACUGGGCGUAAAGGGCCAGUAGGCGGCCAACUAAGUCACACGUGAAAUCCCCAGGCUUAACCUGGGAACUGCGUGUGAUACUGGAUGGCUUGAAUUCGGGAGAGGAAAGCGGAAUUCCUGGUGUAGCGGUGAAAUGCGUAGAUAUCAGGAGGAACACUGCGGUGUAGACAGCUUUCUGGACCACUUCUGACGCUUGAGACCACGAAAGCGUGGGUAGCAAACAGG